Molecule: ribosomal RNA, 478 nt
Filed under: uncultured bacterium
Lineage: Bacteria
Description: partial 16S ribosomal RNA
Rfam family: Bacterial small subunit ribosomal RNA
Source: RNAcentral
GAUGAACGCUGGCGGCGUGCUUAACACAUGCAAGUCGAACGGGAAUUAUUUUAUUGAAACUUCGGUCGAUUUAAUUUAAUUCUAGUGGCGGACGGGUGAGUAACGCGUGGGUAACCUGCCUUAUACAGGGGGAUAACAGUCAGAAAUGGCUGCUAAUACCGCAUAAGCGCACAGAGCUGCAUGGCUCAGUGUGAAAAACUCCGGUGGUAUAAGAUGGACCCGCGUUGGAUCAGCUGGUUGGUGGGGUAACGGCCCACCAAGGCGACGAUCCAUAGCCGGCCUGAGAGGGUGAACGGCCACAUUGGGACUGAGACACGGCCCAGACUCCUACGGGAGGCAGCAGUGGGGAAUAUUGCACAAUGGGGGAAACCCUGAUGCAGCGACGCCGCGUGAAGGAAGAAGUAUCUCGGUAUGUAAACUUCUAUCAGCAGGGAAGAUAGUGACGGUACCUGACUAAGAAGCCCCGGCUAACUACGUG